Molecule: transfer RNA, 72 nt
Filed under: Camelus ferus (Wild Bactrian camel)
Lineage: Eukaryota; Metazoa; Chordata; Mammalia; Artiodactyla; Camelidae
Rfam family: tRNA
About the family: Transfer RNA (tRNA) molecules are approximately 80 nucleotides in length. Their secondary structure includes four short double-helical elements and three loops (D, anti-codon, and T loops).
Source: Rfam by way of RNAcentral
GAGGGUAUAGCUCAGUGGUAGAGUGCUUGCUUAGCAUGCACGAGGUCCUGAGUUCAAUCCCCAGUACCUCCA